This 306-nucleotide ribosomal RNA is filed under the name Phakellia tropicalis. Its description in RNAcentral is "LSU rRNA". It matches the Rfam family "Eukaryotic large subunit ribosomal RNA", at positions 666 to 947 of the family's 3401-position model. Lineage: Eukaryota; Metazoa; Porifera; Demospongiae; Axinellida; Axinellidae. The record is from RNAcentral.
CCAAGGAGUGCAAGAGGCGUGCGAGUCUUUGGGUGUUGUCCAAACCCGAGGACGCAAUGAAGGUGAAGGGAGGCUUGCCUCCCGAGGCGAGAGCCGGUCGUGUUUCCGGCCCAUCGUCGACCGAUCCCAGUUCACGCUGUGGCGGGAUUCGAGUUAGAGCGUGUCUGUUGCGACCCGAAAGAUGGUGAACUAUGCCUGAAUAGGGCGAAGCCAGAGGAAACUCUGGUGGAAGCUCGCAGCGGUUCUGACGUGCAAAUCGAUCGUCAAAUUUGGGUAUAGGGGCGAAAGACCAAUCGAACCAUCUAG